RNAcentral lists this ribosomal RNA (465 nucleotides) under Acidovorax sp. RNAcentral describes it as "bacterial SSU rRNA". It matches the Rfam family "Bacterial small subunit ribosomal RNA", at positions 395 to 853 of the family's 1533-position model. Lineage: Bacteria; Pseudomonadati; Pseudomonadota; Betaproteobacteria; Burkholderiales; Comamonadaceae. The record is from RNAcentral.
UGCCGCGUGCAGGAUGAAGGCCUUCGGGUUGUAAACUGCUUUUGUACGGAACGAAAAGACUCCUUCUAAUACAGGGGGUCCAUGACGGUACCGUAAGAAUAAGCACCGGCUAACUACGUGCCAGCAGCCGCGGUAAUACGUAGGGUGCAAGCGUUAAUCGGAAUUACUGGGCGUAAAGCGUGCGCAGGCGGUUAUGUAAGACAGAUGUGAAAUCCCCGGGCUCAACCUGGGAACUGCAUUUGUGACUGCAUAGCUAGAGUACGGUAGAGGGGGAUGGAAUUCCGCGUGUAGCAGUGAAAUGCGUAGAUAUGCGGAGGAACACCGAUGGCGAAGGCAAUCCCCUGGACCUGUACUGACGCUCAUGCACGAAAGCGUGGGGAGCAAACAGGAUUAGAUACCCUGGUAGUCCACGCCCUAAACGAUGUCAACUGGUUGUUGGGUCUUCACUGACUCAGUAACGAAGCU